CGUCGGGAAAUAUGUGACAAUCAACACGGGUACGGAAUUGCUGCAGCUUCUUUAUAAUGUCACUAGUUGAUAAUUUCAAUGGUCUUAACUUUAAAAAACUUGCAAAGUUUCGUUUAUAUCUACCUGCCAGAGAUAGGUUUUAACAAUAAUACACACGGAAGCGUAAUGUAAAACUACGGAAACUUGUCAGCUGUUCAUUAAACAUCAAAUAUCUUAACCAUAUUCGAUUUUAUUAAUUCUGAAUGAACAUGUUCUCUGCAAAUAACAAAAGGG
Molecule: long non-coding RNA, 273 nt
Filed under: Mytilus galloprovincialis (Mediterranean mussel)
Lineage: Eukaryota; Metazoa; Mollusca; Bivalvia; Mytilida; Mytilidae
Source: RNAcentral